RNAcentral lists this ribosomal RNA (476 nucleotides) under uncultured bacterium. RNAcentral's name for it is "partial 16S ribosomal RNA". It matches the Rfam family "Bacterial small subunit ribosomal RNA", at positions 29 to 506 of the family's 1533-position model. The record is from RNAcentral.
AUGAACGCUGGCGGCGUGCUUAACACAUGCAAGUCGAACGAGAAGUGAAGACGGAAACCUUCGGGCGGAAGGCUUUAUUUCGAGUGGCGGACGGGUGAGUAACGCGUGGGUAACCUGCCUCAUACAGGGGGAUAACAGUUGGAAACGACUGUUAAUACCGCAUAAGACCACAGCACCGCAUGGUGCGGGGGUAAAAACUCCGGUGGUAUGAGAUGGACCCGCGUUCGAUUAGCCAGUUGGCGGGGUAACGGCCCACCAAAGCGACGAUCGAUAGCCGAUCUGAGAGGAUGACCGGCCACAUUGGGACUGAGACACGGCCCAAACUCCUACGGGAGGCAGCAGUGGGGAAUAUUGCACAAUGGGGGAAACCCUGAUGCAGCGACGCCGCGUGAGUGAAGAAGUAUUUCGGUAUGUAAAGCUCUAUCAGCAGGGAAGAAAAUGACGGUACCUGAGUAAGAAGCCCCGGCUAACUACGU